CGGUCCGACUUGUUCCUGCAAAUCAGACGAUUAAGUAUUUGGCUAUCUCAGAGAUGGCUCAGGAAGAACCCACUGUAGCUGCUUUGAAAGAUAAUCUGUCAGCAGAGAGCCUCUUUAGCAAAAUGUUCUUGUGGGGGUGUGGUGGUUUUAAUAUAAUGUGCUUAGAGCCUGAAAUUCUGUUUCUCGAAAGGCUGGGAAUUAGUCAGGAAAGGAAGGAGAGGAGGAUGCUUCCAGGGAUGAAGCUCAUCCUGCCCCUGUCUCUUGCAGUACAGGACAUGCUCAGCCUGUAGGUUCAGACCUUAUAGUACUUGGAAACCCUCCCUGCAGAUCAUUUGGAAGACGGGAAGGGCUUGAAUGUGGCAUUUGCACUGUCUCAAAGAAGAGUCUGUCAGUUCACUGGUGUGAUUUUAUAUUUGUCUGUGGAACAGAUUGUUAGCCCUGCCUGCCAUUGGUGGGGGAAGGAUGCAGUGUGUUGUCCAUCUUAAUCCUUUAUAACCUCAAAACUAGUUUGCGGCCAUUCAAGCCUUUCCUGGUGUGCAGAAGUGAGUAUACAUCUGAGGAGAGAAAAUAAAAUGGAAUUGUUCUUCUUACUUAAGGCUUGCAGCAAAAAGGACGGCUCGGUGUCCCCCAGGCCCCUGGCUCUGGACCCAGUGCUCCCGGCGGGAUGGAGAGCCUGGGGCUGCCAGCAGUGACCCUCAGGGACGGCACCACGGCCUACCUGCAGCAGGCUGCCAGAGGUGAAAAGCUGAUUGAACAAGUCAUUGAACUUGAAGAUGGGACCACAGCUUAUAUCCAUCAGGUGACAGUUCAGAAAGAGUCUGUGGCUUUGGAAGACGGUCAGCCAGUGGUGCUGGAAGAUGGCAGCAUGGCCUACAUACACAGCACAGCUAAAGACGGUUACGAUCCUGGCACCUUCCAGGCCAUCCAGGUGGAGGACUGCACUGCCUACGUCCACCGUCCUGUCAUCGUAGCACCUGGCAGCACCAUCCUGGAAGUGCAGACAGGAACUGGGCUCGAGGAGUUAGCUGGGGAGGAGGAAGAUGAUGCCUUUGGUGUGGAGACCACGAAUGCAUUACAGCAGUACAGCAGUAAGGGGUCUGACAAGGAAGAGGAGGGAGUGACAGACACCUGCCGUAUGAACCCUACGGACUCCAGCAACGUCCCUUCUCAGGAUUUGCAGGAGGAGGAGGUGCACAGCCAUGGGAAGGGGCAGCAGGUCAGCAGCAGAGCUUUCCCCUGUGGGUACAAAGGCUGUGGCCGCCUCUACACCACUGCCCACCACCGCAAGGUACAUGAACGUGCUCACACAGGUGACCGGCCAUAUACAUGUGACUUCCCAGGUUGUGGGAAAGCAUUUGCUACAGGGUAUGGGCUGAAGAGCCACAUGAGAACACACACUGGUGAGAAACCAUACAAGUGUCCAGAAGAUAUGUGUAGCAAAGCCUUCAGAACCUCUGGGGAUCUACAGAAACACAUCCGCACACACACAGGUGAGCGUCCCUUCAAGUGCCCCUUCGUGGGCUGUGGCCGCUCCUUUACCACCUCCAACAUCCGCAAGGUUCACGUCCGGACGCACACGGGCGAGCGGCCGUACGCGUGUCCAGAGCCCGGCUGCGGGAGGGGCUUCACCAGUGCCACCAACUACAAGAACCACAUGAGAAUCCACACAGGAGAGAAGCCAUACCUGUGCACUGUGCCAGGCUGUGGGAAGCGCUUCACAGAGUACUCCAGCCUCUACAAGCACCACGUGGUGCACACGCACUGCAAGCCCUACACCUGCAGCAGCUGUGGGAAGACAUACCGCCAGACCUCCACGCUGGCCAUGCACAAGCGCAGCAGCCACGGCGAGCUGGAGACCAUGGAGGACAGUGAGCGGGCCCUCUUUGAGCAGCUGAGGCUGGAAGUUGCUGCUGCUGACAGAGGCUGCCCGCUGAAGAGCCAGCAUAUUGCUUUCCUGUCGGAGAUGGAGGAAGAUGAAGAAGAUGAUGCUGAGCCUACACAGGUCUCACUUAUCUCUCAGGAUGGGACAGAGCAGGUCAGUCUGUCGCAGGAAGAGCUGCGGGCCCUGGGCAGUGCCAUCAGUGUGGGGACACAGAGUGGGGCCCUUGCCGUGCCCAAGGGAGAGGUGGCGGGUGACACUCGCACCGUGACUGUGGCCAACACCGAUGGCACCGAGACGCAGGGGGUGACCGUAGUCGCUUCUGGGGCAGUCUUGUCAGAGGAAUCCGCCGUUGCCCCUCUCCAUCAUCAGCAGGUGGCAUUGCUGGCCACUGCCCACGGCACCCACAUCACUGUGCAGCUGGAAGAGCAGCAGAGCCUGGAGGAAGGCGUCAGCAUGGCUGCAGCAGUAAUCCACUGUGGACCGGUGACGUCUGACACAGCCGUAUCUGAGAAAGGGAGCUGAGCUGUAGGGAUUAAAGAAAUUGAGGAGAUUUGUGGAAUUGACCGAAUGUGUCCUGCCAAAGCAGCGACUGUCCCAGAGGAGGGCAGGGAGCAGGAUUUUGGCUCUUCCAGGGACCCCUGCAAGCCCAGAUUUACGGAACUGUCUCAGUGAACACAUCUUACAGGCCCCUGAGCUGGGGAGAGAGACUUGGGCAGGUGCCCUCAGCCCUUCCACUGCCCCAGGCACUGGGCAGAAAGAGCCAGCACGGGAAGCACCAUAGAACCAUUUUGGCUGGAAAAGACCUUUGAGAUCGUUGAGUCCAGCUGUAAACCUGAGCCCAGUGCAGGAUCCCGGCAGGCAGGUGGAUUAUUUUCUGGACGUCCCCGAGGAGUUCGCAGAGGAAGAGGUUUCUGCGGGCACGGAACGGGCACAGCCCGGGAGGGUGCAGCACGCUGGGUCUCCCCACACCUGCCCUGAUGCGAUUGAUCGCAAAACAAGGAGAGCUGGAGCCGUUCCAAAGCGCAGCCCGUGCUCCCGCUGCUAGGGGAAGCUCUGCGUCUCAGUCCCGGGAGGGGAAGCUGCUGCUUGAGCCAGGGAGGAGAUUUCUCUCCCCAGAGCGC
This is an RNA transcript of Manacus vitellinus (golden-collared manakin), 3003 nucleotides long. It is a transcript of the gene named zinc finger protein 76, with no coding region annotated. The record is from RefSeq and is a predicted model, not a curated record. The transcript is spliced from 16 exons. Lineage: Eukaryota; Metazoa; Chordata; Aves; Passeriformes; Pipridae.